This 77-nucleotide small RNA is filed under the name Klebsiella pneumoniae. Its description in RNAcentral is "partial RtT sRNA". It matches the Rfam family "RtT RNA", at positions 1 to 76 of the family's 130-position model. Rfam says of the family: This family represents a bacterial cis-regulatory element known as RtT RNA. The exact function of RtT is unknown although it is thought that it may be involved in changing the cellular response in relation to amino acid starvation. Lineage: Bacteria; Pseudomonadati; Pseudomonadota; Gammaproteobacteria; Enterobacterales; Enterobacteriaceae. The record is from RNAcentral.
UAUUCUGCCCCAUGGGGAAGGAUGAGAAGCUUCGACUAAGGUUCGACUCGAGCGAAGCGAGAGAACGUUGCCGCAGG